AAUGAUACAACUAUGAACAGGACAGAUGUGGCCUUGCUCUCAUGGAACACACAAUAAAGCCACAAUGAGAUACCAACAUACAUCCACAAAAAUGGCUAAAAAUAAAAACUGACAAACAUUGGUGACAAUGUGGAGAAACAAACACAAAUAGAAAUGCAUAUACAUAUGCAUCAAGCACAUACACAAAAAGGUUUAUAGCAUUACUUGUGAGGCCCCAAACUGGAAACAACCCAAGUAUCAGCAGUUAAGUGGAGAUAUAAAUGUCAAUAAAUUUCUACAAUGGAAAACUAUACAGCAAUAAAAAUAAAUGAAUUACUGCUACCCAGAACAGAAUGACAAUCUCACAAAAACAAUGUUGCAGGCAAAGAAUAUACAGGCAUACCUUGGAGAUAAUGUGGAGACUGUUCCAGACCACUGCAAUAAAAAUGUGGCAGAAGUGAUGUUCUGUGACUUCCAAAGCCAGAUCUUAAGAGACAUUGAAGAUUCUGCUUUUACCCUUUUAUGAUGCUGCCCUGAGACCAUCAUGUAAGGAAGCCAGUGUCGCCUGCUAGAGAAUAACGGUCACAUGGGAAAGAACCAAAGCUCCCAAUGGACAGCACCAACUGUCAGACAUGUAAGUGAGGCCACACUGACCUUCCAGCCCAACUGUCUUUCAGCUGAAUGUUUCUGUACCAGUGAGCCCAGGUAAAACCAGCAGAUAAACUGUCAACCCACCCAGAGAAUCAUUUAAAGAUAAUAAUAUAUCAUUGCUGCUUUAAGCUACUAAGUUUUGGCGUUGUUUAUUAUGCCACAAUAGAUAACUGAUAGUAUUAUCUUCUCUGUCUUUAACUUUCUCAACUUGCUGAUCCCCUGACCCUCCAUUGUCUAAUUCAGAAAAUACAAUUUAUUUUAUAUU
Physeter macrocephalus (sperm whale) is the source of this 895-nucleotide long non-coding RNA. RefSeq lists it as uncharacterized. The transcript has 3 exons. Lineage: Eukaryota; Metazoa; Chordata; Mammalia; Artiodactyla; Physeteridae. The record is from RefSeq and is a predicted model, not a curated record.